Molecule: non-coding RNA, 46 nt
Organism: Schistosoma rodhaini
Lineage: Eukaryota; Metazoa; Platyhelminthes; Trematoda; Strigeidida; Schistosomatidae
Source: Rfam
GCACUGCUGAGGAGUCCUAUUCUAGGACGAAAUGGUCGUCCAGUAC